RNAcentral lists this transfer RNA (72 nucleotides) under Cebus albifrons (white-fronted capuchin). RNAcentral describes it as "tRNA-Gln". It matches the Rfam family "tRNA". From Rfam's summary of the family: Transfer RNA (tRNA) molecules are approximately 80 nucleotides in length. Their secondary structure includes four short double-helical elements and three loops (D, anti-codon, and T loops). Lineage: Eukaryota; Metazoa; Chordata; Mammalia; Primates; Cebidae. The record is from RNAcentral.
UAGAAUAUGGUGUAAUAGGUAGCACGGAGGAUUUUGAGUUCUUAGGAAUAGGUUCGAGUCCUAUAAUUCUAG